UACAGAGGUCCCAAGCGUUGUUCGGAUUCAUUGGGCGUAAAGGGUGCGUAGGCGGCGCGGUAAGUCGUGUGUGAAAUCUCGGAGCUUAACUCCGAAACUGCAUUCGAUACUGCCGUGCUUGAGGACUGGAGAGGAGACUGGAAUUUACGGUGUAGCGGUGAAAUGCGUAGAUAUCGUAAGGAAGACCAGUGGCGAAGGCGGGUCUCUGGACAGUUCCUGACGCUGAGGCACGAAGGCCAGGGGAGCGAACGGG
This 253-nucleotide ribosomal RNA is filed under the name uncultured bacterium. Its description in RNAcentral is "partial 16S ribosomal RNA". It matches the Rfam family "Bacterial small subunit ribosomal RNA", at positions 524 to 776 of the family's 1533-position model. The record is from RNAcentral.